Molecule: ribosomal RNA, 253 nt
Filed under: uncultured bacterium
Lineage: Bacteria
Description: partial 16S ribosomal RNA
Rfam family: Bacterial small subunit ribosomal RNA
Source: RNAcentral
UACAGAGGGGGCUAGCGUUGUUCGGAAUUACUGGGCGUAAAGGGCGCGUAGGUGGCCUGUUAAGUCGAACGUGAAAUCCCACGGCUCAACCGUGGACGUGCAUCCAAAACUGCGUCGCUGGAGUCUCGGAGAGGAAGGUGGAAUGCUUGGUGUAGAGGUGAAAUUCGUAGAUAUCAAGCAGAACACCUGCGGCGAAGGCGGCCUUCUGGACGAUGACUGACGCUGAGACACGAAAGCGUGGGGAGCAAACAGG